This 460-nucleotide ribosomal RNA is filed under the name uncultured bacterium. RNAcentral describes it as "partial 16S ribosomal RNA". It matches the Rfam family "Bacterial small subunit ribosomal RNA", at positions 338 to 795 of the family's 1533-position model. The record is from RNAcentral.
CCUACGGGAGGCAGCAGUGAGGAAUAUUGGUCAAUGGACGAGAGUCUGAACCAGCCAAGUAGCGUGAAGGAUGACUGCCCUAUGGGUUGUAAACUUCUUUUAUAAAGGAAUAAAACGAGGCACGUGUGCCUUUUUGCAUGUACUUUAUGAAUAAGGAACGGCUAACUCCGUGCCAGCAGCCGCGGUAAUACCGAGGAUACGAGCGUUAUCCGGAUUUAGUGGGUUUAAAGGGAGCGUAGAUGGGUUGUUAAGUCAGUUGUGAAAGUUUGCGGCUCAACCGUAAAAUUGCAAUUGAUACUGGCAGUCUUGAGUACAGUUGAGGUAGGCGGAAUUCGUGGUGUAGCGGUGAAAUGCUUAGAUAUCACGAAGAACCCCGAUUGCGAAGGCAGCUUACUAAACUGUGACUGACAUUGAUGCUCGAAAGUGUGGGUAUCAAACAGGAUUAGAUACCCCAGUAGUC